UACAGAGGGUGCGAGCGUUAAUCGGAAUUACUGGGCGUAAAGCGUGCGUAGACGGCUAUCUAAGUCGGGUGUGAAAGCCCCGGGCUCAACCUGGGAAUUGCAUUCGAGACUGAAUAGCUAGGGUACGGUAGAGGGAAGUGGAAUUUCCGGCGUAGCGGUGAAAUGCGUAGAUAUCGGAAGGAACAUCAGUGGCGAAAGCGACUUCCUGGACCAGUACCGACGUUCAGGCACGAGAGCGUGGGGAGCAAACAGG
RNAcentral lists this ribosomal RNA (253 nucleotides) under uncultured bacterium. Its description in RNAcentral is "partial 16S ribosomal RNA". It matches the Rfam family "Bacterial small subunit ribosomal RNA", at positions 524 to 776 of the family's 1533-position model. The record is from RNAcentral.